UUACCGGCAGUAGAGGAGUAUUCCAG
Molecule: unclassified non-coding RNA, 26 nt
Filed under: Mus musculus (house mouse)
Lineage: Eukaryota; Metazoa; Chordata; Mammalia; Rodentia; Muridae
Description: oocyte_clustered_small_RNA5572
Source: RNAcentral